Molecule: ribosomal RNA, 500 nt
Filed under: uncultured bacterium
Lineage: Bacteria
Description: partial 16S ribosomal RNA
Rfam family: Bacterial small subunit ribosomal RNA
Source: RNAcentral
AUUGAACGCUGGCGGCAUGCUUUACACAUGCAAGUCGAACGGUAACAGGGUGCUUGCACCGCUGACGAGUGGCGAACGGGUGAGUAAUGCGUCGGAACGCACCGAGUAAUGGGGGAUAACGCAGCGAAAGCUGUGCUAAUACCGCAUACGCUCUGAGGAGGAAAGCGGGGGACCUUCGGGCCUCGCGUUAUUCGAGCGGCCGACGUCUGAUUAGCUAGUAGGUGAGGUAAGAGCUCACCUAGGCGACGAUCAGUAGCGGGUCUGAGAGGAUGAUCCGCCACACGGGGACGGGGCCACGGCCCAGGCUCCUACGGGGGGAAGGAGUGGGGAAUUUUGGACAAUGGGCGCAAGCCUGAUCCAGCCAUGCCGCGUGUCUGAAGAAGGCCUUCGGGCUGUAAAGGACUUUUGUCAGGGAGGAAAUCCUUAGCGCUAAUACCGUUGAGGGAUGACAGUACCUGAAGAAUAAGCACCGGCUAACUACGUGCCAGCAGCCGCCGUAA